Molecule: ribosomal RNA, 487 nt
Filed under: Staphylococcus hominis subsp. novobiosepticus
Lineage: Bacteria; Bacillati; Bacillota; Bacilli; Caryophanales; Staphylococcaceae
Description: bacterial SSU rRNA
Rfam family: Bacterial small subunit ribosomal RNA
Source: RNAcentral
GCGCGUAGGCGGUUUUUUAAGUCUGAUGUGAAAGCCCACGGCUCAACCGUGGAGGGUCAUUGGAAACUGGAAAACUUGAGUGCAGAAGAGGAAAGUGGAAUUCCAUGUGUAGCGGUGAAAUGCGCAGAGAUAUGGAGGAACACCAGUGGCGAAGGCGACUUUCUGGUCUGUAACUGACGCUGAUGUGCGAAAGCGUGGGGAUCAAACAGGAUUAGAUACCCUGGUAGUCCACGCCGUAAACGAUGAGUGCUAAGUGUUAGGGGGUUUCCGCCCCUUAGUGCUGCAGCUAACGCAUUAAGCACUCCGCCUGGGGAGUACGACCGCAAGGUUGAAACUCANAGGAAUUGACGGGGACCCGCACAAGCGGUGGAGCAUGUGGUUUAAUUCGAAGCAACGCGAAGAACCUUACCAAAUCUUGACAUCCUUUGACCCUUCUAGAGAUAGAAGUUUCCCCUUCGGGGGACAAAGUGACAGGUGGUGCAUGGUU